UUGAUUUUAAACCAAUUUCUCUUAUACUCUAAUUUAAGUUCUCUUUUGUUUUCUUUUCCUUAUUUUGUUUUAUUCACAAAAUCAAAUCAUAACCCCCCUUGGUGUUGGCGUGUGUGUGGAAGUCCUCGUGAUUUCAAUCUUUAUUUUGUUUUCGUGUUUAAUUGUGUUUUAGUUUUCAUUGUGUGACAUUGAUAAACAUCUCUUUAGAUCACAAUCUCUGUGGAAUCGACCAUUGCUUGCUUACUAUACUAUCAUUUGAUUUGUG
RNAcentral lists this long non-coding RNA (265 nucleotides) under Prunus persica (peach). Its description in RNAcentral is "long non-coding RNA (PPER_LNC003939)". The record is from RNAcentral. Lineage: Eukaryota; Viridiplantae; Streptophyta; Magnoliopsida; Rosales; Rosaceae.